RNAcentral lists this long non-coding RNA (1335 nucleotides) under Marmota monax (woodchuck). Lineage: Eukaryota; Metazoa; Chordata; Mammalia; Rodentia; Sciuridae. The record is from RNAcentral.
CUUUUUCUGUCUGUAUACCUUUCAUUUACUUUUUCCAUCUUAUUGAUCUGUUGAAAACUCUAGUGUUGAAUGGAGGUGAUCAGAAUAAGUACAUUUGUUUCUUCCCAGUCUUGGAGGCAAAGAUUUCAGUGUUUUAUCAUUGAGUACAGCAUUUGUUAUAGGUUUUGUUGAAUAUUUUUAGGCAUAUUUUUAUUAAUUUCUAUAAAAAUAAUAUAUUUUAUCAGAUUUUAAGUUUCUAUACCUAGUUUACUGUUUUUAAGUCAGUACCCAUAAUAAUUUAAUGCUUUUCUCUCUUUUGCUGUUAGUAAUGACUUACAUUAAUUCAUUUUUCUAUUAAUUUUUUUCUUUUAUUUAAAGCCAUAAAUUGCCAUUCUUCCCAUGUCUAGUAAUUUUUAUUGGAAUACUGGACACUACAAAUGCCAUGUUGUUGAAUGUUUGGAUUUUGUUUUCUUCCUUUAAAGAGUGUUGAAGUUUGUUUGGGCAGGUAGUUACUUGUGGAUCAGAUCUGUGGGUUUUAUUAAGCUUUUUAUGCUUAAGUUGUGACCCAUCUGUGAUCCCUGUUGGAUGCCCCAGGUUUUCAAUGAAGUGUCUCUAGUAGGGGUGGUUUACAUGUAAAUAUUUCCUCAUCUUGUGUGAGCUCUGAGAAUUGUAUAGCUUUUCACUGGCAUUCCUUGAUUGACUUCUGGAGUUUUAUCCCAUGCACUAACCAAGAUUUGAGAGGAUGCCUCUUCAGAUUUCCAGAGCUCUUUCUGUGUAAAAUACUCCCUUUUCAGUUAACUCUGUCUCGUAAAUUCUAGCCAGUUCAGCCCUCCUCAACCUUCUAAUCCCUCAAAUUUGGUGAAACAGCUAGCCUUCUACUUGAGUUCUCCUUUACUAUGCUGCUGACUGGAAAUCGCAUCCAAGCAAAAAGCCAGGACAGUUACAGGACUCACCUUGCUUAUUCCUUUUUGUUCAGUGAUGAGACCUGUUUUCCUAUGGUUCUGUGUCUGAAAAUAGUUGAUUCACAUAUCUUGUAUAGUUUUCUAGUUGAUUAUAGUGGGAUGAUAGAUUACUACUUUAUGAGCAGCAUUAGUUUUUCAUAUAUUAAAGCAAGUUUAUAUUUCUAAUCUUCUAAAAAUAAUUUCUAUAUUUUUUGAUAAUAUUUUGUUAGGAUUCUUGCAUUUAUGUCUUGAGAUUGGUCUAUAACAAUAAUUACAUUUGAGUAAUUUAUAAUUAUAAUGAUUAAUACAUAAUAUACUAUAUUAUAUUAAUAAUGCUAAAGUAUUGAUUAUUAAAUAAUUGUUACUACUAAGUAAUAAUUAUUACUUAUUGUCUGGUUAUCAAGAUUAUGCUGAC